UACGGAGGAUGCGAGCGUUAUCCGGAUUUAUUGGGUUUAAAGGGUGCGUAGGCGGUCCGUUAAGUCAGCGGUAAAAUUGCGGGGCUCAACCCCGUCGAGCCGUUGAAACUGGCAGACUUGAGUUGGCGAGAAGUACGCGGAAUGCGCGGUGUAGCGGUGAUGUGCAUAGAUAUCGCGCAGAACUCCGAUUGCGAAGGCAGCGUACCGGCGCCAGACUGACGCUGAGGCACGAAAGCGUGGGGAUCGAACAGG
RNAcentral lists this ribosomal RNA (252 nucleotides) under uncultured bacterium. RNAcentral's name for it is "partial 16S ribosomal RNA". It matches the Rfam family "Bacterial small subunit ribosomal RNA", at positions 524 to 776 of the family's 1533-position model. The record is from RNAcentral.